Molecule: ribosomal RNA, 483 nt
Filed under: uncultured bacterium
Lineage: Bacteria
Description: partial 16S ribosomal RNA
Rfam family: Bacterial small subunit ribosomal RNA
Source: RNAcentral
AUUGAACGCUGGCGGCAUGCUUUACACAUGCAAGUCGAACGGCAGCGCGGGCUUCGGCCUGGCGGCGAGUGGCGAACGGGUGAGUAAUACAUCGGAACGUGCCCAGUAGUGGGGGAUAGCUCGGCGAAAGCCGGAUUAAUACCGCAUACGACCUGAGGGUGAAAGCGGGGGAUCUUCGGACCUCGCGCUAUUGGAGCGGCCGAUGGCAGAUUAGCUAGUUGGUGGGGUAAAGGCCUACCAAGGCGACGAUCUGUAGCUGGUCUGAGAGACGACCAGCCACACUGGGACUGAGACACGGCCCAGACUCCUACGGGAGGCAGCAGUGGGGAAUUUUGGACAAUGGGCGAAAGCCUGAUCCAGCAAUGCCGCGUGUGUGAUGAAGGCCUUCGGGUUGUAAAGCACUUUUGGCGGGAACGAAAAGGACUGUGCCAAUACCACGGUUCGAUGACGGUACCCGCAGAAUAAGCACCGGCUAACUACGUG